This 220-nucleotide ribosomal RNA is filed under the name uncultured Geodermatophilus sp. RNAcentral's name for it is "partial 16S ribosomal RNA". It matches the Rfam family "Bacterial small subunit ribosomal RNA", at positions 969 to 1191 of the family's 1533-position model. Lineage: Bacteria; Bacillati; Actinomycetota; Actinomycetes; Geodermatophilales; Geodermatophilaceae. The record is from RNAcentral.
CCUUACCUAGGCUUGACAUGUGCGGAAAUCCUCCAGAGAUGGUGGGUCCGUAAGGGUCGCACACAGGUGGUGCAUGGUUGUCGUCAGCUCGUGUCGUGAGAUGUUGGGUUAAGUCCCGCAACGAGCGCAACCCUCGUUCCAUGUUGCCAGCGGAUUAUGCCGGGGACUCAUGGGAGACUGCCGGGGUCAACUCGGAGGAAGGUGGGGAUGACGUCAAAUC